AUACAGUCACUCUCCCAUGUGUAUUCCAAUACCGAAAGAGGCUUGAGAGGAAGAGAGAGAGGGGUCAGUUUGCUUCUCUCCUUCUCUUUAUAUUUGCAUUUGUGGGAGCAGCCGCUCUCUUUGCCGGUUUUUGAGUGAGGGAAGGGGAGAAGUAUUCAGAAAUCUGAUCAAUAAAUAUUAUAUUUAUAAAUGU
Non-coding RNA from Caenorhabditis elegans, 193 nucleotides. The record is from Ensembl. Lineage: Eukaryota; Metazoa; Nematoda; Chromadorea; Rhabditida; Rhabditidae.